UACGACUACAUAUCAGGCAUAUCAAUAAGCGGAGGAAAAGAAACUAACUAGGAUUCCCUCAGUAACGGCGAGUGAAGCGGGAAGAGCUCAAAUUUGAAAUCUUCAAGGUUCUACCUUGACGAAUUGUAGUUUAAAGAAGUGUUUUCUGUUGGAGUUUUGGUAAAAGUUCUUUGGAAUAGGACAUCAUAGAGGGUGAGAAUCCCGUAUUUGACCAUUAUUUCCAGCUUUGUGAUACACUUUCAAAGAGUCGGAUUGUUUGGGAAUGCAGUCCAAGAUGGGUGGUAAAUUUCAUCUAAAGCUAAAUAUUGGCGAGAGACCGAUAGCGAACAAGUACCGUGAGGGAAAGAUGAAAAGAACUUUGAAAAGAGAGUUAAACAGUACGUGAAAUUGUCAAAAGGGAAGCGUUUGACACCAGUGUUGUUUCUACGAAAAUCAAUUUAUGAUGGCUUGAUGCUAAGCUUUAAGACUUUAUCCGCUUGUUGUUUAGUUUUCUUGUCUUUGUGAAUGCACUUUUCGUGAACAAGUCAACAUCAAUUUCUUUUGCUGCUAAAAGGGUAAGAGGAAGGUGGCUUCGGCUUCGGUUGAAGUGUUUAUAGCCUUUUAUCUCUGCAGUCGGAGAGAUUGAGGUCUGCAGCGUAGACUCUUCGGGGUUAGAUACGUCGGUGCUAAGCUAUAGCUUUUCAUAGACAACUUGUUGACUAUGUUUAGUCAUGUGGCUUACCCGCUGGCGCUAUUUUACCUACCUUAGGAUGUUGACUGAUAUGUAGUCGUA
RNAcentral lists this ribosomal RNA (772 nucleotides) under uncultured Neocallimastigales. RNAcentral's name for it is "partial large subunit ribosomal RNA". It matches the Rfam family "Eukaryotic large subunit ribosomal RNA", at positions 24 to 644 of the family's 3401-position model. Lineage: Eukaryota; Fungi; Neocallimastigomycota; Neocallimastigomycetes; Neocallimastigales. The record is from RNAcentral.